UACGGGGGGUGCAAGCGUUGUCCGGAAUCACUGGGCGUAAAGGGCGCGUAGGUGGUUUGAUAAGGGUGUGGUGAAAGCCCGGGGCUCAACCCCGGGUCUGCCGUGCCGACUGUCAAACUCGAGGGCUGUAGAGGCAGACGGAAUUCCGGGUGUAGCGGUGGAAUGCGUAGAGAUCCGGAGGAAGACCGGUGGCGAAGGCGGUCUGCUGGGCAGUUUCUGACACUGAGGCGCGACAGCGUGGGGAGCAAACAGG
Molecule: ribosomal RNA, 253 nt
Filed under: uncultured bacterium
Lineage: Bacteria
Description: partial 16S ribosomal RNA
Rfam family: Bacterial small subunit ribosomal RNA
Source: RNAcentral